This 509-nucleotide unclassified non-coding RNA is filed under the name Melitaea cinxia (Glanville fritillary). Its description in RNAcentral is "misc RNA ENSMCXG00005009970.1". Lineage: Eukaryota; Metazoa; Arthropoda; Insecta; Lepidoptera; Nymphalidae. The record is from RNAcentral.
GGCGGCGCACCGCCAGCAGGUAGAGCAGCGGAGGUCAAAACAGCAGCGACGGACUCUCCGGCUGCUUCGCGCCCGUGCCGCCCGAUAUAUCUUCAUUGAUAGACAAAUACCAGCAGAGAAAAGAACAAGAACGUCGGGAAUGCACGAUCCACGUGUAACAUUCCAUGGUCCAUUGUAGAUUUUAUAUACUAUAUAGUACGCUAAAAUUCUUGUAAUCGACGAAACCGUUCAGAACAAAUUGACCUGUACUAGGUAGGGUUUUGAUGAAAUAUGCUUUUUGCGUCUUAAUAUUGUAAUAGGUAUAUAAAAAACUUAUUGAUUAAUUUAAAACAUUAAUACAUUGGUGAAGCUUGAAACAGAUUAUCAGAUACGUUUAAUUACUGCCUAUUACUCAAAAUAAAAUAUCAAAGAGUGAUCGAAAUGACUUGCAAAACGCAUUUAAUAUCUUCAAAUCGCCUUAGAUAGUAUGUUUCAAUCUUUGCUAUUAAAAUGCAGACAUUAUAUCGGUG